Molecule: long non-coding RNA, 840 nt
Organism: Oreochromis niloticus (Nile tilapia)
Lineage: Eukaryota; Metazoa; Chordata; Actinopteri; Cichliformes; Cichlidae
Exons: 5
Source: RefSeq, a predicted model, not a curated record
GCUUCUACUCAGCUGUAUUUCUGUUACUAAUUUAUGUUUGUUGUUGCUUAACACAGAUUUCAGAAGAGCAAAUAUGAGCACUGUUGCUUAAUCCUUAAUAGUUUAAAGCAGGACUGGAUUGGAAAUUUAAAAAAAAUCCAGAUUCUUCUUCCACAGAAGUUUCAUUUGUCAGUGUGGGACUGCUGAGUCACCUGAAGAACUCAUUUCAUUCUCCAUGAUGUUCAUUUACAGAAAUGUUUCACAGGAACUGAUUCCUCCCAAAGGGUACAGUACGUGAUAUUAAGGGCAGGCGGUCAUCAAUGGGGGAAGAAAAGAAGCAGACGUACUUCCAAGAGGGAGCUGCAGUGAGGACACAGCCUGUCACUGAGGUCAGAGGAGGCGCUGAAAGGUUUCCCUAAUAGUUCCUGGUGAAUCAAAGCAGAACCAUAAAGGUUGCUGGACUGCAUGAUGGCCUUACCCCUGAGCAGUCAUCCUGUUAAAGGAGGAACCAGUUAGAAGCUGUUUUCAAAGUAGCUGAGCAGAUUUCAUCUCAACAGACAAAGCCGAUGGCAGAAGAUGUUUGGAGAAGAACUUCAGGCCGUGGACUGAAAAGUAGAUCAAAGCAGCUCGUGCUCCUUCUGCUUCCAUUUUGAUGGCAAGAAGAAGAAGAAGAAUGCUUCAGCGAAGUGGCGUUCAUGGUCUCAGUGGACAGUCAUGGUCACACACUGCAUGUGGUUUUAAAAGCAACAUGUCUGUUCACCACAACAAUGGAGAUGUGUAAUAUUAGUGCAGCUACAGUUUGUUCUUGAACAUCAGUUUUGUUUUCUACUUUGACCACUUAGACCAAAAAAAGUGUUGUUU